Molecule: non-coding RNA, 87 nt
Organism: Diaporthe citri
Lineage: Eukaryota; Fungi; Ascomycota; Sordariomycetes; Diaporthales; Diaporthaceae
Source: the annotation of a RefSeq genome assembly
GGUUCUAUAGUGUAGAUGGUUAUCACAUCGGAUUCUGACUUCACAAUCAUUAUUCCGGGAACUUGAGUUCGAGUCUCAAUAGAACCU